AAUAACAGAGAGCACAUUGAAACCAAGCAGAAUUUUUCAACAACGCCGGUGCUUAGAAACCGCUCACCUUUUUUAUAAAAAGGCACAUGAAUAUCGAUACUAUUAUCUCUAUCAUAUCAAGAAAUCAAAAACCAAAGAACUGAAAAUAUCAUGAAAUUAAAAAAGAAUAAGAUGAAGAUGAGGGAAAAUGAAAUACAAGAAAACUAGAUUCUAGCCAAACAUUAUAAGCCACCGCUAAUACAGAGGGUAGACAUUGCUAUCACCCCUUGGUUGCACCCUCAAAGCGGAACCAUUUUAGUGAGUUGUUGAGUCCUGGGUAUCUGGAUGUGCAACACCACUCCACGCCCCACCCCAGCCGGAAAUCAUAACGAACCAAGAGGUCGAACCGUACGAGACGGGGUUAACAGCUGAUUGCUCUCUGUACGAGAGAGAGUUGCCCUCCAAGACGACCAGCUUCGUUACUGGACAAUUUCAUUGGUGACAUUUUCAGUUUCGCUGGGAUCGUGUCCGCUAUCUCUCCGUUACUUGGACUUGGACUACGAAUCACAAAGUCGUUGCGUUGACUGUUUGCGAUGUUUUCCUCGACUUCUCCAUGAUUUUGCCGGCAAUCCGUCCCUCGUAACAAGUGAUUCUCAGGUUCCCGCAUCUUGCUACUGCUUUUGACCUCGUUCUCUUCCUCAUCAUUAUAUUUUCCAGAGAGCCAGGUCUGUCUGAGCACAUCUGGUGGUGGUAUGGGCUUUCUCCCGGUGCGACUGACAAUCUGUGCUUCCUCUUCGGGAGUUAAACAAAUGCCGCUCGGUAGAAGCGCAAAUCGUCUAUGUCGGUGAGAAGGUGGGUGCUCUAUCCAACUCAUCAUAUAAGAUUCUGCACUGGUUUCUUCGAAUGGCCCAAGCUAGGAAGUCAACUUUGGUUUGAAAUAAUG
This 922-nucleotide small RNA is filed under the name Histoplasma ohiense. Its description in RNAcentral is "hypothetical lncRNA". The record is from RNAcentral. Lineage: Eukaryota; Fungi; Ascomycota; Eurotiomycetes; Onygenales; Ajellomycetaceae.